GACAGAGGGUGCAAACGUUGUUCGGAAUUACUGGGCGUAAAGCGCGUGUAGGCGGCUAAGCAAGUCGGGCGUGAAAUCCCACGGCUCAACCGUGGAAGUGCACUCGAAACUGCAGGGCUAGAGUCCUGGAGAGGAAGGUGGAAUGCUUGGUGUAGAGGUGAAAUUCGUAGAUAUCAAGCGGAACACCGGUGGCGAAGGCGGCCUUCUGGACAGUGACUGACGCUGAGACGCGAAAGCGUGGGGAGCAAACAGG
This 253-nucleotide ribosomal RNA is filed under the name uncultured bacterium. RNAcentral's name for it is "partial 16S ribosomal RNA". It matches the Rfam family "Bacterial small subunit ribosomal RNA", at positions 524 to 776 of the family's 1533-position model. The record is from RNAcentral.